RNAcentral lists this long non-coding RNA (573 nucleotides) under Nicotiana benthamiana. RNAcentral's name for it is "long non-coding RNA (NBEN_LNC011228)". The record is from RNAcentral. Lineage: Eukaryota; Viridiplantae; Streptophyta; Magnoliopsida; Solanales; Solanaceae.
CCUAGCCUAUCAAAACCCUAAUCGGCCCCCUCAUCCUCUCUGAGCAAUCUCACCGGAGUCCAUGGCUUCUCAGGCCAUGGACAGCCUGUACUCACCUUCCUUCACUCCUAAACCAUGAGUGUUCAAGAUUUCGAGGCCUGACCUUGAUGUCGUACGUUCAGAUCCUCUGCAGAUAUGUGUUCAUAUGGCCUCUCUAGCUCUACUCCAGCGUAUUCGAGCUCUAGGAGCCUAGCUAUGGCUAUCUCCGACUCGAGACCAGACUUUCUUCCAAGCUUUCUCAUUUCUAGGGUUUUAGAGAAACCCUAAAGCUAUUCAAGGUUCCUUUAUCUUUUAUUUACCUAGAUCUGUGGUGAACCUAUGUUAUAUUCAACGUUUUAAAGCUUUUCCCCAAUUUUCCUUGCAAAAUUAGUCUGUUUCAAUUUAGAGUUUAUGAAAAAUCUUAAAAGAACUUUUGACUCUUCUUCUUUGGGUGAAUCUGUCUAUGCUAUGUUCUUAUGUUCUUUCCUUGCAUAUCUGCUCCUGUGUUUAUAUGUUUUGCCAUAUUAUGCAUGUUCUUCUAUUUUGUGUUCUGUU